CUGGGAAUCAAUGUGUGAGGUGGUGCUAUGUAGCAGGAACCCCUCUUGCUUUGCAAAUAGUUUUUUGUUUGUUUUCCUUUUUGCCCAAUAGAGCCCUGCUCUACUGACCCUUCAAUGUGCCCGUGUGCCUAAAUAUUCCUGGUCGUGUGAAAAGAACCCAGGUAUUAGCUGAACUAAGGAGCACAAUUCUGCAACAUUUUGGCACCCAAACACGGGGCUUGAGAAAUGAAUGCAAUUGGAGAAACUGGUUGUUUUACCAGGCGUUGAUUGGAAAUGUGUGCUUCCCUUUAAGCAGUCAAGCUCAACUUGCAGAACUGAUGGGAACCCCUUGGGAAAACUGGCCUCAAAUGUUUGUCUACACAGUCCACAUACAGGGUUCUUAACCUGCGCAUAUUUAACUAUCCGGCUAUUUUGGAGAUUGAAAAAAGAAGACCUGAUUUAUCAUGUGCAAUAUCUCACACAUCUGUCAUUUCUAUUCUACCGCAAUUCGAUGGAGUCUUGUUCUGUGGUCCAGGCUAGAGGGCAGUGGCAUGAUCUCGGCUCACUACAAGCUCUGCCUCCCGGGUUCACGCCAUUCUCCUGCCUCAGCCUCCUGAGUAGCUGGGACUACAGGCGCCCGCCACCACGCCUGGCUAAUUUUUUGUAUAUUUACUAGAGAUGGCUAGUGUUAGCCAAGAUGGUCUCGAUCUCCUGACCUCGUGAUCUGCCCACCUCAGCCUGCCAAAGUGCUGGGAUUACUGGCGUGAGCCACCGUGCCUGGCCAGCAUCCUCUAAUUAUUAUUCAUAGUUUGUGAAUUUAGGCCUACGUGAAUAAUAAUAUAAUAUUUACUAUGAUGUUACUAUCUACCAACCUUAUUUUUCUUUUCUAUAAAAUAGGAGCCAAAAUAAUAUUUAUGUCAUACCUUAUGAAGUUAAAAUAAAAUAUAACGAAUGAGGGGCUUAA
This 943-nucleotide long non-coding RNA is filed under the name Homo sapiens (human). Its description in RNAcentral is "PREDICTED lncRNA (TCONS_00210566)". Lineage: Eukaryota; Metazoa; Chordata; Mammalia; Primates; Hominidae. The record is from RNAcentral.